This 511-nucleotide ribosomal RNA is filed under the name uncultured Pseudomonadota bacterium. RNAcentral describes it as "bacterial SSU rRNA". It matches the Rfam family "Bacterial small subunit ribosomal RNA", at positions 366 to 896 of the family's 1533-position model. The record is from RNAcentral. Lineage: Bacteria; Pseudomonadati; Pseudomonadota.
GGACAAUGGGGGAAACCCUGAUCCAGCAAUGCCGCGUGAGUGAAGAAGGCCUUCGGGUUGUAAAGCUCUUUCAAUAGGGAAGAUUAUGACGGUACCUAUAGAAGAAGCCCCGGCUAAAUCCGUGCCAGCAGCCGCGGUAAGACGGAUGGGGCUAGCGUUGUUCGGAAUUACUGGGCGUAAAGGGCGCGUAGGCGGCCAAUUAAGUUAGACGUGAAAGCCCUAGGCUUAACCUAGGAACUGCGUUUAAUACUGGUUGGCUAGAGUUCGGUAGAGGAAAGCGGAAUUCCUAGUGUAGAGGUGAAAUUCGUAGAUAUUAGGAAGAACACCAGAGGCGAAGGCGGCUUUCUGGACCGAUACUGACGCUGAGGCGCGAAAGCGUGGGGAGCAAACAGGAUUAGAUACCCUGGUAGUCCACGCUGUAAACGAUGAAUGCUAAUCGUUGGGGGCUAAGCCUUCAGUGAUGCAGUUAACACAUUAAGCAUUCCGCCUGGGGAGUACGGUCGCAAGAUUA